This 981-nucleotide long non-coding RNA is filed under the name Daucus carota (carrot). Its description in RNAcentral is "long non-coding RNA (DCAR_LNC002246)". The record is from RNAcentral. Lineage: Eukaryota; Viridiplantae; Streptophyta; Magnoliopsida; Apiales; Apiaceae.
UACACUUGUCAGACAUUCCAUGGGAAUGAAACACUAUAUAAACACUUGCAAUCCACCUCAAUCCACAGAACACAACAAGAUUUGCUGUGAGUUAAGUUUGUAGCAGAAGAAGAAUAUUUCACUUCAAAUAUCAUCAUCAAUCAUGAAUGCACAACAACAAAACAACAUGAAGGCCCAGGCUAACGAGGCCUCCGAGAAAACUCAGGUCAUAGCAUAUACAUAUUCUUCUAUCUAAAAGUUGGUGAUUAAUCCGAUUAAUCCAUGUUCCGUAACUUGUCGAAUUGAUUAAAUCUCUAGUUAAUCCCUGAUCAAUUCAAUUGAUGUCCUUGUUCCGUGACUUCACCGAUUAAGUCCGAUUCCCACUUUUUAUUUUUACAAUACUGACAUAUUCUCGAUCUAAUUUAUCCUUGUUUUCUUGUGCUGCAUGCACUGAUAAUUUGCUAUAUUUUCUCAACUGUAGGAGAAAGGCAACCAGAUGAUGGACAGCAUCAGCAAUGCAGGCGGUCAGAUGAAGCAAUCGAUGCAGGAGGUAGUAGCAAUAUAUUUUAUUUGCAAUUUUAUUUUCUAGAAAAAAAAUUAACAGUUCCAAGCUGAAUUAAUCGAAUAUUACAGUCUUAAGUAUUGUGGAUGUGUAUAUAUUUGCUGAUAAUUACGUGUUCGUGUUUGCAGACGGGUGGGCAAAUGAAGGAGAUGGCAUCAAAUAUGGCUGAUAGUGCUAAGGAGGCAACCGGGAUGAAAUGAAGAAGCAUGCAUGCAUAGCGCAUCAGCUCCCCUCCAUCCUUCCAUUUUUACCCCAACACGCACGAACGCUCUGCGUUUUAGUGCUAUUGUUUUCUUUGUUAGUUUCAUGUUCAUGUUUCUAGAGGCUUUUAAAUUUGGGUUCUGCUCUGUUAGCGGAACCAUGCAUAAUGUAUGAACAAAGAGGAGGGGUGGAGUUCUUUUUUAUUUAUUUCUUCUAAUAAAAUAUUGAAUGUUUUUAUA